GAUGAACGCUGGCGGCGUGCCUAAUACAUGCAAGUCGAGCGAACGGACGAGAAGCUUGCUUCUCUGAUGUUGGCGGCGGACGGGUGAGUAACACGUGGAUAACCUACCUAUAAGACUGGGAUAACUUCGGGAAACCGGAGCUAAUACCGGAUAAUAUUUUGAACCGCAUGGUUCAAAAGUGAAAGACGGUCUUGCUGUCACUUAUAGAUGGAUCCGCGCUGCAUUAGCUAGUUGGUAAGGUAACGGCUUACCAAGGCAACGAUGCAUAGCCGACCUGAGAGGGUGAUCGGCCACACUGGAACUGAGACACGGUCCAGACUCCUACGGGAGGCAGCAGUAGGGAAUCUUCCGCAAUGGGCGAAAGCCUGACGGAGCAACGCCGCGUGAGUGAUGAAGGUCUUCGGAUCGUAAAACUCUGUUAUUAGGGAAGAACAUAUGUGUAAGUAACUGUUCACAUCUUGACGGUACCUAAUCAGAAAGCCACGGCUAACUACGUG
Molecule: ribosomal RNA, 497 nt
Filed under: uncultured bacterium
Lineage: Bacteria
Description: partial 16S ribosomal RNA
Rfam family: Bacterial small subunit ribosomal RNA
Source: RNAcentral